ACACACACACCAGCCUGUCUGCUGUAAGAAAACAAAGGUGAUGAUGUCGAUACGGCACCAGGGUAACAUGACUAUAUGAAGACACAUUAUGAGACAGAGUCUUCAGGUGAGACACACUGAGCUCCUGAUAGGUGUGACGUCGUCUGUAAAACCUGGUUGUCAUGGUGAUAAAAGGUGUGAUAACUUGGAGAUGGAGGAGGAGCUGUUUGGUGUCAGCAGUGUGCGUUCGCCAUAAUUCUUCUCCUGGUUAGUUUUGAACAUUACGUCUCCAUGGUAACCAAAAAACAACAACAACACAACUUGCGGUACAAACUAAGUUGCCACACCAGAACUUAAGACACAACUGACAAACAGCUGCUGACACAGGAAGAGGAUGGUGUGCUCAGGUGAGCUCAGGUGUUAUCGUGUCCUCAGGUGUGCUCAGGUGUUAUCGUGUCCUCAGGUGUGCUCAGGUAUGCUCAGGUGUUAUCGUGUCCUCAGGUGUUAUUGUGUCCUCAGGUGUCCUCAGGUGUUAUCGUGUCCUCAGGUGUGCUCAGGUGUUAUCGUGUCCUCAGGUGUCAUCGUGUCCUCAGGUGUCCUCAGGUGUUAUCGUGUCCUCAGGUGUUAUCGUGUCCUCAGGUGUUAUCGUGUCC
Non-coding RNA from Labrus bergylta (ballan wrasse), 632 nucleotides. The record is from RefSeq and is a predicted model, not a curated record. Lineage: Eukaryota; Metazoa; Chordata; Actinopteri; Labriformes; Labridae.